GACGAACGCUGGCGGCGUGCUUAACACAUGCAAGUCGAACGGAAAGACCCUGCUUUUGUGGGGUGCUCGAGUGGCGAACGGGUGAGUAACACGUGAGUAACCUGCCCUUGACUUUGGGAUAACUUCAGGAAACUGGGGCUAAUACCGGAUAGGAGCUCCUGCUGCAUGGUGGGGGUUGGAAAGUUUCGGCGGUUGGGGAUGGACUCGCGGCUUAUCAGCUUGUUGGUGGGGUAGUGGCUUACCAAGGCUUUGACGGGUAGCCGGCCUGAGAGGGUGACCGGCAAAAUGGGGAAUGGGAUACGGCACAGACUCCUACGGGAGGAAGAAGUGGGGAAUAUUGCACAAUGGGCGGAAGCCGGAUGAAGAAACGCCGCGUGGGGGAUGAGGGCCUUGGGGUGGUAAACCGCUUUCGCCUGUGACGAAGCGUGAGUGAGGGUAAGGGGAAAAGAAGCACCGGCUAACUAGGU
Molecule: ribosomal RNA, 467 nt
Filed under: uncultured bacterium
Lineage: Bacteria
Description: partial 16S ribosomal RNA
Rfam family: Bacterial small subunit ribosomal RNA
Source: RNAcentral